AAGUCGUAACAAGGUCUCCGUUGGUGAACCANCGGAGGGAUCAUUACUGAGUUACACUCUCAACCCUUGCGAAUCUUCUUGGUUGCUUCGGCAGAUUUUCCCUGGGAGGGAAGCAAACAAAUCUGCCNNNNNNUUGCAACUCUGAUUUCAGUGGCAUUCUGAAGAAACUUGAAAAAGUAAAAACUUUCAGCAACGGAUCUCUUGGUUCUGGCAUCGAUGAAGAACGCAGCGAAAUGCGAUAAGUAAUGUGAAUUGCANAAUUUAGUGAAUCAUCGAAUCUUUGAACGCACAUUGCGCCUAUUAGUAUUCUAGUAGGCAUGCCUGUUCGAGCGUCAUUUCAGACUCAGACUUCUGAAGUUGGAAUAUGUGUGAUCUCACAGUUCCUAAAUACAAUAACGGAUAUAAUGAAUAAGCCGGGUGUAGUAAAUCUCGCCUAGGUUUUUGUUUCUGUCCGUCUCUCUUAUAAAAUGUUGACCUCGAAUCAGGUAGGAAUACCCGCUGAACUUA
Molecule: ribosomal RNA, 507 nt
Filed under: uncultured fungus
Lineage: Eukaryota; Fungi
Description: eukaryotic LSU rRNA
Rfam family: 5.8S ribosomal RNA (bases 182-335)
Source: RNAcentral